Molecule: RNA transcript, 919 nt
Organism: Mus pahari (shrew mouse)
Lineage: Eukaryota; Metazoa; Chordata; Mammalia; Rodentia; Muridae
Gene name: deoxyhypusine hydroxylase pseudogene
Exons: 1
Source: RefSeq, a predicted model, not a curated record
GAGGCUGUUGCCAUGGUAACGGAGCAAGAGGUAGAGGCCAUAGGGAAGACCUUGGUGGACCCCAAGCAGCCCUUGCAGGCCCGCUUCCGUGCCCUGUUUACACUUCGGGGACUUGGUGGCCCUGAUGCUAUCUCCUGGAUCAGCCGGGGUUUUGAGGACAGCUCUGCUCUUCUGAAGCAAGAGCUCGCCUACUGCCUGGGCCAGAUGAGGGAUGCACAGGCCAUCCCUGUGCUGGUGGAUGUGCUGAAGGACACGAGCCAGGAGCCCAUGGUGCGUCACGAGGCAGGGGAAGCCCUGGGGGCGAUUGGUAACCCGGAAGUUCUAGGCAUCUUGAAGCAGUAUUCCACAGACCCAGUGGUUGAGGUGGCUGAGACGUGCCAGCUUGCCCUUGGGCGUCUAGAGUGGCUGCAGCAGCACCCGGGGGAGGCCACAUGUGCAGGACCCUACCCCUCAGUGGACCCAGCGCCCCCUGCAGCAGAGCAGGAUGUGGGGCGACUGCGGGAGGCCCUGCUGGAUGAGGCACGGCCACUCUGAGCGGUACCGUGCCAUGUUUGCCCUGCGCAAUGUGGGUGGCAAGGAGGCUGCCUUGGCCCUGGCUGAAGGCCUGCAGUGUGGCAGCGCACUCUUCCGCCAUGAGGUGGGCUAUGUGCUGGGUCAGCUGCAGCACGAGGCAGCCGUGCCCGGGCUGGCAGUCACAUUGGUGCGGACCACUGAGAGUCCCAUGGUGCAGCACGAGUGCGCAGAGGCCCUGGGCACCAUCGCCAGACCUGCCUGCCUGACUGCAUUGCGAGAGCACAUCGUGGACCCUGAGCAGGUGGUGCGGGAGAGCUGCGAGGUGGCCCUGGACAUGUAUGAGUACGAGAGCGGCCAGGACUUCCAGUAUGCAGAUGGGCUGGAGCGCCUGCGGCCGCCACCCUGA